This 236-nucleotide ribosomal RNA is filed under the name uncultured Lactobacillus sp. RNAcentral's name for it is "partial 16S ribosomal RNA". It matches the Rfam family "Bacterial small subunit ribosomal RNA", at positions 127 to 355 of the family's 1533-position model. Lineage: Bacteria; Bacillati; Bacillota; Bacilli; Lactobacillales; Lactobacillaceae. The record is from RNAcentral.
UGCCCCAUAGUCUGGGAUACCACUUGGAAACAGGUGCUAAUACCGGAUAAGAAAGCGGAUCGCAUGAUCAGCUUUUAAAAGGCGGCGUAAGCUGUCGCUAUGGGAUGGCCCCGCGGUGCAUUAGCUAGUUGGUAAGGUAAAGGCUUACCAAGGCGAUGAUGCAUAGCCGAGUUGAGAGACUGAUCGGCCACAUUGGGACUGAGACACGGCCCAAACUCCUACGGGAGGCAGCAGUU